This 495-nucleotide ribosomal RNA is filed under the name uncultured bacterium. Its description in RNAcentral is "partial 16S ribosomal RNA". It matches the Rfam family "Bacterial small subunit ribosomal RNA", at positions 28 to 507 of the family's 1533-position model. The record is from RNAcentral.
GACGAACGCUGGCGGCGUGCCUAAUACAUGCAAGUAGAACGCUGAAGGAGGAGCUUGCUCUUCUGGACGAGUUGCGAACGGGUGAGUAACGCGUAGGUAACCUGCCUGGUAGCGGGGGAUAACUAUUGGAAACGAUAGCUAAUACCGCAUAACAGUAGAUGUUGCAUGACAUUUACUUAAAAGGUGCAAUUGCAUCACUACCAGAUGGACCUGCGUUAUAUUAGCUAGUUGGUGGGGUAACGGCUCACCAAGGCGACGAUACAUAGCCGACCUGAGAGGGUGAUCGGCCACACUGGGACUGAGACACGGCCCAGACUCCUACGGGAGGCAGCAGUAGGGAAUCUUCGGCAAUGGACGGAAGUCUGACCGAGCAACGCCGCGUGAGUGAAGAAGGUUUUCGGAUCGUAAAGCUCUGUUGUAAGAGAAGAACGAGUGUGAGAGUGGAAAGUUCACACUGUGACGGUAUCUUACCAGAAAGGGACGGCUAACUACGUG